Molecule: ribosomal RNA, 406 nt
Filed under: uncultured bacterium
Lineage: Bacteria
Description: partial 16S ribosomal RNA
Rfam family: Bacterial small subunit ribosomal RNA
Source: RNAcentral
GAUGAACGCUGGCGGCAGGCCUAACACAUGCAAGUCGAACGAGUGGCGGACGGGUGAGUAAUGUCUGGGACACUGCCCGAUGGGCGGGGAUAACUACUGGAACCGGUAGCUAAUACAGCAUACCAUCGGAUGUGCCCAGAUGGGAUUAGCUUGUAGGUGGGGUAACGGCUUACCUAGGCGACGAUCCCUAGCUGGUCUGAGAGGAUGACCAGCCACACGGGAACUGAGACACGGUCCAGACUCCUACGGGAGGCAGCAGUGGGGAAUAUUGCACAAUGGGCGCAAGCCUGAUGCAGCCAUGCCGCGUGUAUGAAGAAGGCCUUCGGGUUGUAAAGUACUUUCAGCGGGGAGGCGUUACCCGCAGAAGAAGCACCGGCUAACUCCGUGCCAGCAGCCGCGGUAAUUC